AUGGGGUGUAUCAAACUGAACACGGACAGGUUCUUUGAUUCGUCUCGUAAUGCUGGGGCUGGAAUGAUUGUACGAGAUCACCGCGGGACCAUUAAUUUCUCGGCGUGCAGGACCUUGUACUCCUGUAGAGAUGCCUUGGAGGUGGAGCUUUGCGCAUGCAUGGAAGGGCUCUCGUUGGCGAUUCAACGUAGCGAUCUUUCUAUAGUGGUGGAAAUGGAUUCUCUUGAAGCCGUGUCCAUGAUUUCAUGUGACAUCGUCGAUUGCUCUGUCUAUGCUUCCAUCGUGAAGGAGAUUAAGCACUUGUUAUCCCUUAGACAAACUUGUAUCUCUCAUAUUGUUAGGUCUCAAAAUAAGGCUAGUGAUAUAUUAGCAGGUUUUGCUAGAACCCAAGGUAGGACCAUGACCUGGCUAGGGGCUGGUCUGGUUGAGUUGAUGGAGAUUGCUUCUCUUGAUUGUAGGGACAUCUUGAUUGAGUAA
Molecule: ribosomal RNA, 477 nt
Filed under: Triticum aestivum (bread wheat)
Lineage: Eukaryota; Viridiplantae; Streptophyta; Magnoliopsida; Poales; Poaceae
Description: partial small subunit ribosomal RNA
Source: RNAcentral